RNAcentral lists this unclassified non-coding RNA (353 nucleotides) under soil metagenome. Its description in RNAcentral is "partial contains 5.8S ribosomal RNA, internal transcribed spacer 2, and large subunit ribosomal RNA". The stretch from base 1 to 120 matches the Rfam family "5.8S ribosomal RNA", at positions 35 to 154 of the family's 154-position model. The record is from RNAcentral.
GAUGAAGAACGUAGUGAAAUGCGAUAAGUAAUGUGAAUUGCAGAAUUCAGUGAAUCAUCGAAUCUUUGAACGCACAUUGCGCCCGCCAGUAUUCUGGCGGGCAGGCCUGUUCGAGCGUCAUUACAACCCUCAGGCCCCCGGGCCUGGCGUUGGGGAUCGGCGAGGCGCCCCCCGCGGGCACGCGCCGUCCCCCAAAUACAGUGGCGGUCCCGCCGCAGCUUCCAUUGCGUAGUAGCUAACACCUCGCAACUGGAGAGCGGCGCGGCCAUGCCGUAAAACACCCAACUUCUGAAUGUUGACCUCGAAUCAGGUAGGAAUACCCGCUGAACUUAAGCAUAUCAAUAAGCGGAGGA